AUCCACAUGGCAUGGAAAGCAUGACCAAAUUUCCAUUGCCUGAACUAGCUUCACACGGUAGCUUUUCCACUACUGACAUGUAUUGGAACAUCCAAACUCCAUGUGGAAUGAAUAUAAAAAUCUCAAAGUAAAAUGAUAGUUGAACACAAGAACGACCGAUGUUAUGGAAUCUAUAAUCAUAUACUCACUACAGGAAAUUGCCAUGUUAAACUACAUCCCAGAAACCACACAAAGAUUACACAACCUGUUAUGAACUCCGACCAUCUUCCUCACGAACAACAACAAUUCUGUCCCAAGCACCUCAUGUGACCUUCUCCCCUAGCGCAUGGUGACCUUCCUCCCUAUGUUCACCUGGGCAGCGGAUGGCAGAACGGCGCGUGGAUGGUGAGAACUACACAGUUAGCACACACAUUGAACUCUAGAAGCUGGCUAGGACGAACUUCAAAGAGAGCAGGCACACACCCAGCAGGCAUGGUGGCAGCGGCGCAGGGAGGACGAGUCACGUGCAUGCGUACCUUGGCGAACCCCUCGCUGGUGUCGGUCUGCGUGCCAAAGAGGAGGGCUACCUGCUGGCGGCCAUCGUCGUGGUCGGGCUCCUGCUCCUUCUUGGAGACGAGGGCCUUGGCCGCGGUGGCCUUGUGGGCCAGGUGCG
RNAcentral lists this long non-coding RNA (652 nucleotides) under Triticum aestivum (bread wheat). Its description in RNAcentral is "long non-coding RNA (TAES_LNC011881)". Lineage: Eukaryota; Viridiplantae; Streptophyta; Magnoliopsida; Poales; Poaceae. The record is from RNAcentral.